Molecule: ribosomal RNA, 635 nt
Filed under: Acarospora fusca
Lineage: Eukaryota; Fungi; Ascomycota; Lecanoromycetes; Acarosporales; Acarosporaceae
Description: SSU rRNA
Rfam family: Bacterial small subunit ribosomal RNA
Source: RNAcentral
UGUAUUAUUAGUUAAUGCAAGAUCGACUACGUCGACUAAAGUUCUAGGUAGAAUAAUGAUGAUGACAAUUUUUUACCUAUAUGUCUUGACCAAGUCUCGUGCCAGCAGUCGCGGUAAUACGUGGAAGACUAGUGUUAUUCAUCUUUAUUAGGUUUAAAGGGUACCUAGACGGUAUUUCUAGCCCAAAAUAGGGUACGGAUUUACUAGAGUUUUAUGUGAGGAGGGGAGUACUCAUAGAGUAGAGAUGAAAUUUUGUUAUACUAUGAGGUAACUGGUGGCGGCGAAAGCAACCUUCUAUGUAUAAACUGACGUUGAGGGACGAAGGCUUGGGUAGCAAAUAGGAUUAGAUACCCUAGUAGUCCAAGCAGACAAUUCUGAAUGCCAUAGAUUAGAUUAUUUUUGGUCUAUAAAUGAAAGUGUAAGCAUUCCACCUUAGGAGUAAUGUGGCAACACAGGAACUGAAAUCAUUAGACCGUUUCUGAAACCAGUAGUGAAGUAUGUUAUUUAAAUUGAUGGUCCACAAAAAACCUUACCACAACUUGAAUAUUUUUAAUUUAUACAAGCGUUGCACGGCUGUCUUCAGUUAAUGUCGUGAGAUUUUGGUUAACUCCAUUAAUUAACGUAAACCCUUACUU